AUGAACGCUGGCGGCGUGCCUAAUACAUGCAAGUCGAGCGAACAGAUAAGGAGCUUGCUCCUUUGACGUUAGCGGCGGACGGGUGAGUAACACGUGGGUAACCUACCUAUAAGACUGGGAUAACUUCGGGAAACCGGAGCUAAUACCGGAUAACAUUUGGAACCGCAUGGUUCUAAAGUGAAAGAUGGUUUUGCUAUCACUUAUAGAUGGACCCGCGCCGUAUUAGCUAGUUGGUAAGGUAACGGCUUACCAAGGCGACGAUACGUAGCCGACCUGAGAGGGUGAUCGGCCACACUGGAACUGAGACACGGUCCAGACUCCUACGGGAGGCAGCAGUAGGGAAUCUUCCGCAAUGGGCGAAAGCCUGACGGAGCAACGCCGCGUGAGUGGUGAAGGGUUUCGGCUCGUAAAACUCUGUUAUUAGGGAAGAACAAAUGUGUAAGUAACUGUGCACGUCCUGACGGUACCUAAUCAGAAAGCCACGGCUAACUACGUG
This 496-nucleotide ribosomal RNA is filed under the name uncultured bacterium. Its description in RNAcentral is "partial 16S ribosomal RNA". It matches the Rfam family "Bacterial small subunit ribosomal RNA", at positions 29 to 507 of the family's 1533-position model. The record is from RNAcentral.